Molecule: non-coding RNA, 23 nt
Filed under: Arabidopsis thaliana (thale cress)
Lineage: Eukaryota; Viridiplantae; Streptophyta; Magnoliopsida; Brassicales; Brassicaceae
Also listed under: 2 other names
Source: RNAcentral
UACAGAGAAGAUUAGCAUGGCCC